GGUAGAAAAUUAGAAAUUAAAAAAUUUGGAGGAACCCUAGUCCUCAAGUCCACCUCCCGUCAGUUCACAGAUCCCUCUUCCUCUUCCCAAAUCCCGUCUCCCUCCCCUCUCCGACCGUCCAACGCCGUCCGCCGCCUCCGUGAGCCACCCUCCGUCCGAAUCAGUCCAUGCCGCUCCGCCCUUCGAAUUCUGAAUCCGUCCACGCCGCCCUGCUCUUCGAAUUCUAAAUCAGUCCACGCCGCUCCGCGACGCAGCUCCGCCACGCCGCCGCGCCACUUCGAUUUUAUACCAAUCACUUAUCUGCUUGGAAUUGCUUUGGAUUUGUUAUGAGCUGGAAUUGUAUCUUAACUUUUGUAGAUCAAAUGGAAGCUUCACAAGCUCAUACUCAACAAGCUUCAAAUGUCCCUCCAAAUGCAAAUCCAAAUGGAGAAGAAGAAGAACCCCAAUCUCAGUCAUUAUGAGUUAUUAUGCAUUGUUGUCGUUAUUAUUAUUAUUAUUAUUUUUAAAUCGAUUCUUAGCUAAAAUAAAAUUAUGAUAUAUUUAAAGUACAAGAAUGAGCUUUAAUUUAGUGGAUAAGUUACUGUGUGUGUU
Molecule: long non-coding RNA, 591 nt
Organism: Salvia miltiorrhiza (redroot sage)
Lineage: Eukaryota; Viridiplantae; Streptophyta; Magnoliopsida; Lamiales; Lamiaceae
Exons: 2
Source: RefSeq, a predicted model, not a curated record